RNAcentral lists this ribosomal RNA (518 nucleotides) under uncultured bacterium. RNAcentral's name for it is "bacterial SSU rRNA". It matches the Rfam family "Bacterial small subunit ribosomal RNA", at positions 131 to 644 of the family's 1533-position model. The record is from RNAcentral.
CUUAAGUGGGGAAUAACGCAUCGAAAGAUGUGCUAAUACCGCAUGUACUCUGAGGAGGAAAGCAGGGGACCGAAAGGCCUUGCGCUUUUGGAGCGGCCGAUGUCUGAUUAGCUAGUUGGUGGGGCAAGGGCCUACCAAGGCGACGAUCAGUAGUUGGUCUGAGAGGACGACCAGCCACACUGGGACUGAGACACGGCCCAGACUCCUACGGGAGGCAGCAGUGGGGAAUUUUGGACAAUGGGCGCAAGCCUGAUCCAGCAAUGCCGCGUGAGUGAAGAAGGCCUUCGGGUUGUAAAGCUCUUUCAGUCGAGAAGAAAAGGCUACGGUAAAUAAUCGUAGUUCAUGACGGUACCGACAGAAGAAGCACCGGCUAACUACGUGCCAGCAGCCGCGGUAAUACGUAGGGUGCGAGCGUUAAUCGGAAUUACUGGGCGUAAAGGGUGCGCAGGCGGCUUUGUAAGUCAGAUGUGAAAUCCCCGGGCUUAACCUGGGAAUUGCGUUUGAAACUACAAGGCUAG